UGACAAUUGCAUUUGUCCAUUCCAGGGGGA
RNAcentral lists this non-coding RNA (30 nucleotides) under Rattus norvegicus (Norway rat). Lineage: Eukaryota; Metazoa; Chordata; Mammalia; Rodentia; Muridae. The record is from RNAcentral.